This 391-nucleotide unclassified non-coding RNA is filed under the name soil metagenome. Its description in RNAcentral is "partial contains 5.8S ribosomal RNA, internal transcribed spacer 2, and large subunit ribosomal RNA". The stretch from base 1 to 122 matches the Rfam family "5.8S ribosomal RNA", at positions 35 to 154 of the family's 154-position model. The record is from RNAcentral.
GAUGAAGAACGUAGCGAAAUGCGAUACUUGGUGUGAAUUGCAGAAUCCCGUGAACCAUCGAGUCUUUGAACGCAAGUUGCGCCCGAAGCCAUUAGGCCGAGGGCACGCCUGCCUGGGCGUCACACGUCGUUGCCCCCCCAUCUACUCCUUCGGGAUUGCGGGGGGCGGAUGAUGGCCUCCCGUGCGCCUCGCCGCGCGGUUGGCAUAAAUGCCAAGUCCUCGGCGACGCACGCCACGACAAUCGGUGGUUGCGAAACCUCGGUUGCCCGUCGUGUGCGGUCGUCGCGCAUUGAGGGCUCGAAAAAAUUGCCGGGUUCCGGCUCGGCUUUCAACGCGACCCCAGGUCAGGCGGGGUUACCCGCUGAAUUUAAGCAUAUCAAUAAGCGGAGGA